UGGCUAGGAGCUUACAGCACACAGAGAGAGCAAGUAUGGGGGAUUGAUCGGCAUCUUUCUAACAGUAUUAAACCAGCUGUUUCCAGCAUUUUCCGACUUGAAUUUGCUGGGUUUUUUAUAACUCUGAACUAGUAGUCUCUCAGCAUGUCAAGUUGAGAAAGCUAUUGCUCCUUAGUGCAUGGUUUUUACCAAAGAUUAAUUCGACAUAGUAAGUGGCUAAUGGCCAAAUAAUUGGAAAAUGGUUAGCAUGAUUCCAAAUUAAUUGAUCCCAGAGCUGUUGUGUGUAGCAUAACAAGUGUAUUGUUGUA
Molecule: unclassified non-coding RNA, 308 nt
Filed under: Hevea brasiliensis (rubber tree)
Lineage: Eukaryota; Viridiplantae; Streptophyta; Magnoliopsida; Malpighiales; Euphorbiaceae
Source: RNAcentral